This 77-nucleotide transfer RNA is filed under the name Cytobacillus sp. NCCP-133. Its description in RNAcentral is "Bacillus sp. NCCP-133 tRNA-Arg". It matches the Rfam family "tRNA". From Rfam's summary of the family: Transfer RNA (tRNA) molecules are approximately 80 nucleotides in length. Their secondary structure includes four short double-helical elements and three loops (D, anti-codon, and T loops). The record is from RNAcentral. Lineage: Bacteria; Bacillati; Bacillota; Bacilli; Caryophanales; Bacillaceae.
UGUCCCAGUAGCUCAGCUGGAUAGAGCAACAGCCUCCUAAGCUGUAGGUCGUGAGUUCGAAUCUCGCCUGGGACGUC